Molecule: ribosomal RNA, 343 nt
Filed under: Spiniphora punctipennis
Lineage: Eukaryota; Metazoa; Arthropoda; Insecta; Diptera; Phoridae
Description: partial 12S ribosomal RNA
Source: RNAcentral
AAUGUAAAAUAUAAAACUAGAGUAUUAAUAGUUAUAUUCUUUAAACUUAAAAAAUUUGGCGGUAUUUUAGUCUAUUCAGAGGAACCUGUUUUAUAAUCGAUAUUCCACGAUGGACCUUACUUAAUUUAAUAUUUUAGUUUGUAUACCGUUGUUAUAGAAGAUUUUAUAAGAAAAAUAAUUUUCAAUUAAUUGAAUAAAAUUAUAUAUCAAAUCAAGGUGCAGCUUAUGAUUAAGUAAAUAAUGGGUUACAAUAAAUUUAUUUAUACGGAAAUAAAUAUGAAAAAUUUAUUGAAGGUGGAUUUGAUAGUAAAAUUAUAUAGAUUAUUAAUUUGAUUUUAGCUCU